AGAAGCAGAUUCUGGGCCAGGGUCCACAUUUCAAACUAUGCCUGGAGGGACUAACACCUUCCUCAGAGCCUGUGUGCAGGGCUGGAAGGUCUGAUGAUUUUAUGGGCUGUCCUGACAGAGAUUAUUGGAGACUCCUUUGGUCUGCUGUUGUGAGUUGAACCAGGGAUGGUGAAAACCAGGGGGCAGAGAAGGGUAACUAGGGGCCUGAGUGUCAGCUCCAAGUCUCUUCUCCCUGGAUGAUUUGUCAGGAGCCUUGAUCUCAGUCUAGUUACAGAAUCUUCUUCACCAUCUGCUAGUUAUAACACUCCUAAACCCCCCCGAGUCUGAUGCAUGAGAGGAGUGGUUGUCUGGGAGGAUUUGGAGGAAGGCACAUGCAUGAAGACGAAUGGCCAUUUAAUUAUACUCAGUGCUGGUGAGCUGGAGCUGAGAAAUUAGCAGUGACUAAGAAAAGUCCAGCAUUAUUGAGGUGAAAUCUUCUGGGAAGUGUUUUCUGAGAGCACACAGAAGCUGUGUUCCAGAGAUGGCCAAAGUUGUAUUUCUCCACCGGCAGCCAAAUUUGGUCAUGUGGAUGAGUCACCCAGGUGACACUGGUUCAUGGAAGAGCAGCUGAGUCUUGGCACUGACAAUACAGCCUCAGUGGCAGCUGAAGGCCCAGGAUUGAAAGGGUCAUGCAGAGCAGUUGAGGCUUGUCCCCAUGAAGAGAGCCCAGGAGAGUACUGGUAUAAGUGCAGCCCAGUCGCAGCAGAAGACCCCAGCAUUUUGGAGAUGCAAGUACCAUGGGAUGACCAUCAAGAACAGCAGCAGCAGUGGAGUGGAGCCAGCCAGAUCCUAAAAGACGAGCUGUUUGUGCUACAGAGGGCUGAACUGCAGAAGUUAACUCAAGCCCCUUAGAGGAGCCCAGAAGAUCUUGAGUGCAUCUCUGAUGUUGAAAGAUGCACUAUUUACACUUUUGGAGUUUGGUUUUGCUUUGCUUUGAUAGCGAUUUUGACCUAUUUCUUCUCUCUUGAAAUAUAAUUUAUUUUUGAUUUUACAGAAGUCCACAAGUUGAGAGACAGAAUUUUAAAAGACUUAAAUUUUAAAAAGAGAUUGAUUAUUUUAAAGAGAGAGAACUUUUAAUGUAUUUGAAUUUGUGAGGAUUGUGGGACCUUUAAGUUGUUAAUGUUUUAUAUUGUGAUAUAAAUAUUAACAUAACAUCUUGGGGAUAAAUGAGAAAAGAAAGGUUCUAAUUAAAAAGUGAUAUGUUGGGCCUUGAGCUCAGCAAUUUAGAGCACUGGCUGCUUAUCCAGAGGUCCUGAGUUCAAGUGCCAGCACCCACAUGGUGGCUAACAGUGUCUGUAACAGUAGUCCCAUUGGGAUUCAAUAUACUCUUCUAGUGUGUAGGAGUACAUGCAGACAAAAACACCCAUAUACAUAAAAUAU
Molecule: long non-coding RNA, 1419 nt
Filed under: Mus caroli (Ryukyu mouse)
Lineage: Eukaryota; Metazoa; Chordata; Mammalia; Rodentia; Muridae
Description: lncRNA (MGP_CAROLIEiJ_G0003254.1)
Source: RNAcentral